CCAGACUCCUACGGGAGGCAGCAGUGAGGAAUAUUGGUCAAUGGGCGGAAGCCUGAACCAGCCAAGUCGCGUGAGGGAAGAAGGCCCUGCGGGUCGCAGACCUCUUUGGACGGGGAGCAAGGCCGCCGACGUGUCGGCGGAAGGAGAGUACCCGUAGAACAAGCAUCGGCUAACUCCGUGCCAGCAGCCGCGGUAAUACGGAGGAUGCGAGCGUUAUCCGGAUUUAUUGGGUUUAAAGGGUGCGCAGGCGGCACGGCAAGCCGGCGGUCAAAUCGCGGGGCUCAACCCCGGACUGCCGUUGAAACUGCAUCCCUUGAGUGCGCGAGAAGUACGCGGAAUGCGUGGUGUAGCGGUGAAAUGCAUAGAUAUCACGCAGAACUCCGAUUGCGAAGGCAGCGUACCGGCGCCCAACUGACGCUCAUGCACGAAAGCGUGGGUAUCGAACAGGAUUAGAUACCCGGGUACA
This 466-nucleotide ribosomal RNA is filed under the name uncultured bacterium. RNAcentral describes it as "bacterial SSU rRNA". It matches the Rfam family "Bacterial small subunit ribosomal RNA", at positions 331 to 794 of the family's 1533-position model. The record is from RNAcentral.